UACGUAGGGUGCGAGCGUUAAUCGGAAUUACUGGGCGUAAAGCGUGCGCAGGCGGUUCGUGAUGUCUGGUGUGAAAGCCCCGGGCUUAACCUGGGAAUGGCAAUGGAGACUGCAAGGCUAGAGUUUGGCAGAGGGGGGUAGAAUUCCACGUGUAGCAGUGAAAUGCGUAGAUAUGUGGAGGAACACCGAUGGCGAAGGCAGCCCCCUGGGUCAAAACUGACGCUCAUGCACGAAAGCGUGGGGAGCAAACAGG
Molecule: ribosomal RNA, 253 nt
Filed under: uncultured bacterium
Lineage: Bacteria
Description: partial 16S ribosomal RNA
Rfam family: Bacterial small subunit ribosomal RNA
Source: RNAcentral